GAACAUAUAAUUUUAUAUUUGCAUCAUGAAUUAGGUCCUUUCCAGUUCUCUCAUAUACAUCCCCCAAGUCAUCAUCAGUUCAGAAAUAAUUUGGUUCUUAGCAGCUGACAACUGCUGUAUUCUAGUAAAGAUUUCUGAAUGAGGUACGUCCAAAGAUUGCAAUCAAACUGUGAGGAUGGGACAUCAUGUUUGCUUUUAAUCCAUUCUCUGUGUUAGUUAGUUCUCUGUAACAGUGCCAAAAUCCCAAGAUGAACAAUGUAAAGGACCAAAGAUUUAUUCUGGCUUGUUUCAGAGGUUUUGGUCCAGGGUCACUUGGGACUGUGUCUUGGGGUCUGUGAUAGGGAAAACAUCAUGGUUGGGGGCAUGCAAGGUAAGAAGUCUGCUCACCGCAUGGCAGCAUGGAAAUCUAGAGGAAGGGGCUAGAGUCCAAUAGUCCCUCCAAGGGUACAGCCCCAACCAUCUAACUUCCUUCCCAUACUCUUCACUUACUGAAGUUUCUACAUCUUCCCAGUAGAGUUGACAUGAAGGACAGCCAUUGGAGCAUUACAUAUUUAAAUUAUAGCACCCUCUACUACACUUUAAACUAGACAGCACCCCCAACACCUGCUCAACAUUUUAUUACUACAGAUAUUCAUGUAAUGUUCCAGUGCUCCUUCAGCCGUCUCUGUUCUCCUCCAAUGUGCGCUCUGUUCUUCUCUGGUAUGGAUCAAGCUGAGCAUGCAACAGCAGAAGCAGUUCCACCAGCCCAUUUGUGUGACAUGAGCCUCAACUAGUAAGGACAUAAAAGGUGAAAACGGAAGUUCACAAACUGCCAGCGUACUAAACCGUCUGGGGCACAAGGUCAUCAAUCUCCCUCUAGUUGUAAGUAAAGUAGUUGUCUUCCUUCAGGACAGAAUUCCAAAGAGAAGGAAUAUAUAUGUACCAUACAAACAUACCUGAUUUUUCUGGAAGAUAACUAUCCAUAUCAUACAUACAUGAUAGUACAUGCCUGUAAUCCCAGCACUGGGGAGGCUGAUACAGGAGGAUUGUGAGUUGCAGGCUAGCUCUGCCUACAUAAUGAGUUAAAGACCAGCCUAGUAUACAUGGUGAGACUCAGUCUCAAAAAUAAAUCAUCAGGGAACACAUGAAAACAUGAGGUUUGUAUAGACUAUGGCACAAAUCUCAAGAGAAGCAAGGCCUGGGAUCUUUUGUCCUGGUCCUGAGAUAGCCCAGCCCAUGUGAAGAAAGGACUAGCUAGCAUAACAUGGUAUUUUAUUUCACUAUCGUAGACUGCUAGGAACUCUCUGGAGGCCCCAGCAGCUGCGUCUUGUCUUUAAUAUGAAGCCUGGGGUGGGGGUGGGGGGGCCGGGGAGACUCAUAAUUCAAAAGAGGCACAGCCCUGAGAAAGCCACUCUGCAUAUCUGAACCAGACAUGGGUGGUGGGGAGGAGGGGUGCUCUUCUAGUCCUAAGUCAAGAAUGCUUUCUGUCUUCCCUCUUCUCUUUAUCGGCUGUCCUUGUGAAAAGAUCAUUUAUGGAUAGUAGAUGAGGACAGCGGAGCCAGCUUCAAUCUCCCUCUUUUCUUUCCCAGCUGUUGCUGCCGUGUAAAAAGACCCUUUGUUAAAGACUGAAACAGCAGACGCGGCUUGGAUAAUAGCUUAAAUCAUUGGGUGUGUGUGUGUGUGUGUGUGUGUGUGUGUGUGUGUGUGUUUCAUCUUGAACUAGUGUAAGCACUAUUUUUGUUUUGAAAGUUCUGCUGCUUAUUCAAAUAUUUCUAAAAAAAGAAAACUUUGAUAGACUUUUGUGGUAAAGAAGUGUGCUAUAUGAUCUCUUGACGGCAACGCAGCCCAUGGAAAGCACUGAUGAUGUUGACGGAGUGUAACAGGUACACUGUGUGCUGGGACUUGGUGCAUACCUUUGUAAUUCUCACAGAAUCCUGUGAAGUACAAUCCAUUAUCAAGGGAAAUCAAAUGCAAGAACUCAAGGAAUGAACCUGGAGGGAAGAACAGAAACAGAGACCAUGGAGGAGUGUUGCUUACUGGCUUGCUCAGAUAGCUUUGUUAUUAGAGCUCAGGCCUGGAGUAUGGCAUUGCCAAUGAUGGACUGGGCCCUCUCACUUCAUUCAUUAAUCAAGAAUAUGCCUCAUAGAUAUGUACACAGGCCAAUUUGAUGGAGGCAGCUCCUCAAUUGAGAUUCCCUCUUCCCAGCUUUGACUUUAUAGUGUGGCUCCCUGCCUCUCUAGUGGUGUCAGAACAGCUGCCAUGCCUUGGGUUGCCCAGAACGAUGAUGAUUUGGUGUUCUGGAGGUGUGGACAAGAUAAAAAGAGGUGACAUCUCUGCUUGAGAACCUGCUGUCGGGGCUGCUUCACUGUGCUGAGAUCUAGAGACAGAAGAGCUCCAGUCCUUUUGGUGAACCUGACUUGCCUCCAAACAGGUGCACGUUGCAAGCAGGAGCCUUCCUUCCAUUUCUUUCUAAACUGUUCCCCCAACUGCUGUGGGAUGGUCUGUAUGUCAAGUGUGUUGCUGAUUGGUCAAUAAAUAAAUCACUGAUUGGCCCGUGGCCAGGCAGGAAGUAUAGGCGGGACAAGGAGGAGAAUAGAGCUGGGAAGUGGAAGGCUGAGAGAGAGACACUGCCAGCCGCCAUGAUGACAAGCUGCAUGUGAAGUACCGGUAAGCCACGAGCCAUGUGGCAAGGUAUAGAUUAAUGGAAAUGGAUUAAUUUAAGCUGUAAGAACAGUUAACAAGAAGCCUGCCACGGCCAUACAGUUUGAAACCAAUAUAAGUGUCUGUGUUUACUUGAUCGGGUUUGAGCGGCUUGGGACUGGCGGGUGAGAGAGAUUUGUCCUGACUGUGGGCUAGGCAGGAAAACAUUAGCAACAAAUGGCGUCCAACGUGGUGGCAAGAGUUUCCACCUAAAAACUGAGAAAAGAGAUUCUAAAACGGAGCUAAAAACAGCUUCCUAAUUGUCUCUCUCAAAUGAGCGGCAGCUGCCGGUUUGAGCUACUGGCGGGUUCCUAGCGUGCGUGCUGGACCUGCUGUAUGGCGGGAAUGAGGCCUCUGCAAGUGGCACAUUAAACUGUGUGGUGGAUUUAGCCUUUGCUAGUACAAAACACAAAAAAAGAGGUUUCUGGGCUACACGCUGCUUGGAUAAAAGCAUAGACCCACGAUAGCUCCCAGAGCUGGUGGUAAAGUACCAUGCCAUGUUGGAAAGCUGCGGUGGGUGGAGCCAGCAGCCACAGCUGCUGCAGCUUAAAGCAAUAGAUUCACAAUAAGACAGAUUCAGAUGUAAUAGUUUAAAAUGUGUGUAAAAUAUACGUAGGCUUGAAAGAGACAAAAAAGGUGAUAUAUACAGUAUAGAAACAAAUACAUGGUUUUAAAAAAUAAAGUCUUUAAAGAGACAGUAAAAUUAAUAUAAAAAAUAAGCCACGUAGAGAUGACUAUUACACAGAGAGUCUGGAUUGUGUUGUCUUUGGGAUUCUUAACUACAGAGAGAUAUUUGAUUGUAAAGGAAGCUGAGUUAAACCAGUAUGUAUAUUUUAAAGAUAAUUUGACUUCAAAAUUUGGAUGUAAGGAUAUGUUGCUUUGGAAAAGAGUCUCUUUUGUUUCCACAGAAAGCCAGAGGCUAUGGAUUUGCUCAAGAUUAAGACACAUCAGGUUUGACCAGCCAAGACCCCCUGAAAGGUCUCCGAUGACACCAUGGCCCAGAUGAUCCAACAUCCAAAACCAUUUCAAGACAACUGGCUCAGAUGAUACAGCCUCACGGACUACUCCAUGAUCCUAAAAUUUUCUUUGUUUCCCCAGAAGAUACAGCGCCCCCCUCCAGCAGGAAGUAGUAAGAGAAGCUACGCCCAAAUUCCCAAAUAUACCAAGCUGACUUCAAAGAUGUGUAAAGGUUAAAACCUUCCUUUUUAAGAAAAGAAAAGGGGAAGUGCUGUGGGAUGGUCUGUAUGUCAAGUGUGUUGCUGAUUGGUCAAUAAAUAAAUCACUGAUUGGCCCGUGGCCAGGCAGGAAGUAUAGGCGGGACAAGGAGGAGAAUAGAGCUGGGAAGUGGAAGGCUGAGAGAGAGACACUGCCAGCCGCCAUGAUGACAAGCUGCAUGUGAAGUACCGGUAAGCCACGAGCCAUGUGGCAAGGUAUAGAUUAAUGGAAAUGGAUUAAUUUAAGCUGUAAGAACAGUUAACAAGAAGCCUGCCACGGCCAUACAGUUUGAAACCAAUAUAAGUGUCUGUGUUUACUUGAUCGGGUUUGAGCGGCUUGGGACUGGCGGGUGAGAGAGAUUUGUCCUGACUGUGGGCUAGGCAGGAAAACAUUAGCAACACCCAACACUCCAUUCAGCUCAGCAAAGAGAAAAGGCUAUAGAAUCAGACUUUGCAGGCAUUAUAUUUAUUUAUGCAUAUGUACAUGUAUUUAUAUAUAUACACACAUAUAAAUACAAAACAGGGUCUCUCUGUGUAGCUCUGGCUAUCCUGGAACUCACUUUGUAGACCAGGCUGGCCAUAACUCAUGGAGAUCCACCUUCUCUGCCUCCCAAGUGCUGGGAUCAAAGGUGUGCACCACCAUGCCCUGCUACAUAAUAUUCUUUUGGUUACAGAAACAAUAUAAGCUCAUUGUCAAAACUACGAUGAUACAAAAAGAAAAACAGGAAAACUACAAUCUUACCAUAAUCUAGCACCUAGAUGAUAACAUUUUUGCCUGUCUUGAUUUCUAAUCACUGCUCUCAUUUUACCAGCUGGACAUCACUUUGAUUCUUUUCUCCUACCUGAGAAAUCCUGAAAAUACCUCCUCACAGACAAGCUGUAAGAAGGAAAGACAAUGCAUGAUUUCUACAAAUUGCUACUAAAGCAGUUGUCGAAUAAUAAAUGUAAAAUUAAAGUAAGUUCAUUAAAUGAUGCCAUUAAACAGUAUGGAAAGUGAACGGGUGUUGAGGGGCAGGCUAAAGAAUCUCAGCCGUGGUGGGUGGUGGUGGCUCAUGCCUUUAAUCCUAGAGGCAGGCAGAUCUCUGUGAGUUCAAGGCCAGCCUGGUCUACAGAAUAAGUUCCAGGACAGCCAGGGCUGUCACACAGAGAAACCCCGUCUCAACCUACCUACCCCAGCCCCCCCAAAAGAAUCUCAGUCAUCACCCCACACACAGUUUAAGCUCUGCUAUUUCUUUUAUUAGAACCUUGCCAAAUUUGGGUGGUGGUACCAGGAACUGAACUCAGGGACCUGCCCAUGCCAGCACUCUACCAAUGAGCUACACCCUCAUCCUAAGCAAACCUAGAGGGACAGAAAGCAGAUCAGGGUUAAGGGUGCACAUGAUGUGUGGUUCCAAAGGAGUACGAAGAAAUGUUGAAAUAAUCAGAUGCCUCUAUAUUCCAGCUCUGAUGAUAAGAACAUAGUUAUGUGUGCUGAUCAAAACUCAGAGAACUGUAUACCGCAAGGGCACAUUUUACUAUAGAUAAACCAUACUUCAAUAAACCUCACUUUCAACGGUGCCCUUUCCAGAGCUCUGAUCCUCACUGAUUUAGCAUCGGCCCUUUCAGUCCUCUCGGUUUCAUCGCUCCAUCUUAUCUCUGUUAGAUUCCCGGGGCAUUUCACCUUUCUGAUGCUAUUUUGAGUGCUUCUUUAGUUCUCCUGUAAAUUGUUAGACUGGAUUCUUUGUUCCCAGUUUCUCUACUUUGCUGCAUAUUUUAUUUCCCAUUUGAAUCGACACUCUGUUGAGCCAGGCUCAGCUGUGUCUAACAAACAGAAUCUCCGGCUGUUUGGCUUGCUCUUCUGGUGCCAGCAGAGGUCUUCUCAAGGCAGCUAAUUAUAGUGAGUGAGAUAAGAGAAAAGCCGACCCAGGGCCCUGUGUCCGGGGUUAAACAGAAGUGCUUUAAGAUCUAGGUUGUUUCUGCUUUGUCAGCAAGGAACUUGGAACAAUUUUUACGCUCAAAAAUAAACAUAACACAAGCCUCCAGUCGGACUUAUUAUAGCUGUGUUUGGUAGCUCCUUCUAAAGUGGGUUCAGCUAGUUGAGAAUGUAUGCUGGUCAUAGAUCCUGAAUUUUCUAGGGCAGUCUGGAUUUCAAAAAUUCCAUUCUCUAAAAGCCUCAUAUAAUAUAGUUAAAAUAGCCAGGUGAUGGUGGCACACCUCUUUAAUCCCAGCACUCAGGAGGCAGAAGUAGGUAGAUCUCUGUGAGUUAGAGGCCAGCCUGGUCUACAGUGUGAGAUUCCGGACAGCCAGGGCUACACAGAGAAACCGUCUUGAAAAACCAAAUAUGCGUGCAUGCAUGUGUGUGUGUGUGUGUGUGUGUGUGUGUGUGUGUUUAUAUGUAUGCAUAUACACAUAUAUUAGUUAAAUGUAUUCACUUAUUGUUUACUUAUUUUUCCAUUCUGCAGUUAUUUACUGGCUAUCCACUAUGGUGUGUGAGCAGGCUCCCUAGUGGGCUGUGGAAAAUUUGAGAAAGUUGCACCUGAGACCUUAAUGUCAUUUAGACUAGAGGAUGGACAGGCUAACGAGUGCAUUCAGUUGCUUUACAUGGGUAAAGUCCCAAACAUUAGUAACUUGUAUGUCCCAUAAUAGACGGAGAAAAGGUUUAAAAUGUUAUGUCUGUGUGUGUUUAUUUUAAUACCACAGGUAAUACAAAUUUUUCUAACACUAAUGUUAGGCAGAUAUCAUUAGAUAGCUAUCUAUAAAAAUAUGUAGUACUGACAUACACCCAUUAUGUGUUAGAAAUAGUCCCAUGACUGGCACAAUACUACAAUGAUCGCUGAUAACAGCUGGCAUAUGAGCUCGGCCAAAUGCCAGGUGACUUGCCCACUCCCUUGCUAUUGCUCUGGGGACUCACCAGAGUGGGCUUUGUUCUACCCACUUUAGAGCCUGGAAGGAAAGUGGAUUCUAGAAGAGAUAGGUGAAGAGAAGUAGAGGCAGAGCUGGUCAUCACCAAGCAGUGACCUCUUCUUCAGGCCACACAGCUCUGCAUUGUUGACCUGUUUUUAACUGUAUCAGGUGUGCAUUUCUGUAACUCCCUGAAGCCCCAGGAGAGCAAAGUGAGAAAGGCAGAAGCGAUUAGGAUGCAGAGCGACCAUUGUAAUCCAACAGUUUUGCUGCAGCCAGAGCAAUCUGUUUCGAUGUCCAUGGGCCAUGUCUCUCACUACUUAGGACCAUUCUGGAGUUCCCAUCUACUUUAGACACACUAGCCCCUUCCUCAUGAGUUGCCCUCUUUGUGGAUUUCCUCACUCUGGAGUUAUCCAGCCAUACAGGAGUCUUCUUAUUCUUUUCUCUUUCUUAUUGCACACUCUUACACUGGAACUUUUAUCAGAGCAGUUAGUUUUGCUUGGAAGUCUCUAAACAGACCUAUUUUCUCCCCUAUUCCAUUAACUGUAUCUCUGACUCUCUAUACACAGAAGCCCUUCAGAAAGUCUGUCCUUGUUGACCAGUCCCAUUUACAUAUGUGUACAUCUAUACCCGCAUUGUCUCUUCAAGGAAGCUAUCCCUAGGCUGCAACCUACAGCUAGCUAGGUAGGAUCUGAUUCUGCGACACCGUCUCCUCCAGCAAGCAUUUCUAGAAGGGCAGGCAUUCUGCAGCUUUACUCACUAUUUUCCUAGUCUUCAGUUAUUCAGGCAAAGAAUAGGCACUCAAAAAUAAUUAUUGAGGGCUGGCAAAACUGGGAACACGGCCAUGAUGUAGAACCAUUUAAUCACUUCAAACUGUGGUGAUAAUGACACAGAUAUUCUCAGGCAGCUGAACAGUCUUUCAAAGGCCCUACAAAAAGCAGCACUAACAAGUUCAGCCAUGGCUCAGUGAUAGAACACCUGCUUAUCAGGCACAAGUCUAGAGGUUCCAUCCCUAGCACUGAAAAACUGAACUCUUGAGAAAAACAAACGCUUUAGAUCUGUCAUUUCUAACAUCCUCACAAGCUCAGGGUAACCCGUUCUACUUCCUCCAGGACUCUAAGCUUCUUCUCCCCUCUAGUUCUAUGCUUGUCUGAUGUUGAGUCUUUUCCUGCGGGUCCUGGGAAGGCAGGGUUUGCAUUUCCUUUCUUCACCACGUGAGCUGAGCACAGUGCCCACAAAGAAUGCCUUCCAUACAUUUUAGUUGACAAACAAGUGUGAGAU
Peromyscus californicus insignis is the source of this 8054-nucleotide long non-coding RNA. RefSeq lists it as uncharacterized. Lineage: Eukaryota; Metazoa; Chordata; Mammalia; Rodentia; Cricetidae. The transcript has 4 exons. The record is from RefSeq and is a predicted model, not a curated record.